AUGAAGACCAAGGAAUCCCAAACCGCCGAUCUCCAAGAAAUACUCAAGCUACAGCAAGAAGAAACCUCUAAAGCCAAAGAAGAGCUCAAGGGUGCCUUGGCAACCAUGGAAAAACUUAAAGAGGGCUUCAAAACAGACCGCACCAACUGGGAAACUGAAAGGGCUGUUUUAUUAAAGCAGGCAGAAUAUUAUGAAGCAGCCCUUAAACCAGUGGAAGAAGAACUGACGGGUCUGAAGCAUCAAGUGAACUCCAUGACGGCUGCCGUGUUUGGUCAGUACCUUGGAACACAUGCUCUGUAA
This 300-nucleotide ribosomal RNA is filed under the name Triticum aestivum (bread wheat). RNAcentral's name for it is "partial small subunit ribosomal RNA". Lineage: Eukaryota; Viridiplantae; Streptophyta; Magnoliopsida; Poales; Poaceae. The record is from RNAcentral.